UGGGGAAUAUUGGACAAUGGGGGGAACCCUGAUCCAGCCAUGCCGCGUGUGUGAAGAAGGCCUUAUGGUUGUAAAGCACUUUAAGCGAGGAGGAGGGUACUGGUAUUAAUACUACCAGCUACUGGACGUUACUCGCAGAAUGAGCACCGGCUAACUCUGUGCCAGCAGCCGCGGUAAUACAGAGGGUGCGAGCGUUAAUCGGAUUUACUGGGCGUAAAGCGUGCGUAGGCGGCUAAUUGAGUCGGAUGUGAAAUCCCCGAGCUUAACUUGGGAAUUGCAUUCGAUACUGGUUAGCUAGAGUGUGGGAGAGGAUGGUAGAAUUCCAGGUGUAGCGGUGAAAUGCGUAGAGAUCUGGAGGAAUACCGAUGGCGAAGGCAGCCAUCUGGCCUAACACUGACGCUGAGGUACGAAAGCAUGGGGAGCAAACAGG
This 430-nucleotide ribosomal RNA is filed under the name Pseudomonadota bacterium. RNAcentral's name for it is "Proteobacteria bacterium partial 16S ribosomal RNA". It matches the Rfam family "Bacterial small subunit ribosomal RNA", at positions 355 to 776 of the family's 1533-position model. Lineage: Bacteria; Pseudomonadati; Pseudomonadota. The record is from RNAcentral.